AACGCACGAGACCUGCGGACCUGCGGAAGGAUCAUUACAGAGAAAAUGCCCCUUUGGGGUAUAUCUCCUCAACCCUUUGUUUAUAAUACCUUUUGUUGCUUUGGCAGGCCCGUCUCUGGACCGCCGGCUGACUUUGCUGGUCAGUGCCUGCCAGAGGAUUUUAUAAAACUCUUUUGUACAUCUUAUUGUCUGAUUUAACUUACGCAAUUAUUAAAACUUUUAACAAUGGAUCUCUAGAUC
RNAcentral lists this unclassified non-coding RNA (240 nucleotides) under soil metagenome. RNAcentral's name for it is "partial contains 5.8S ribosomal RNA, internal transcribed spacer 2, and large subunit ribosomal RNA". The record is from RNAcentral.